Molecule: ribosomal RNA, 253 nt
Filed under: uncultured bacterium
Lineage: Bacteria
Description: partial 16S ribosomal RNA
Rfam family: Bacterial small subunit ribosomal RNA
Source: RNAcentral
UACGUAGGGUGCGAGCGUUGUCCGGAAUUAUUGGGCGUAAAGAGCUUGUAGGUGGUUUGUCGCGUCUGCUGUGAAAAUCCGAGGCUCAACCUCGGACUUGCAGUGGGUACGGGCAGACUAGAGUGAUGUAGGGGAGACUGGAAUUCCUGGUGUAGCGGUGAAAUGCGCAGAUAUCAGGAGGAACACCGAUGGCGAAGGCAGGUCUCUGGGCAUUAACUGACGCUGAGGAGCGAAAGCAUGGGGAGCGAACAGG